CCUACGGGUGGCAGUAGUGAGGAAUAUUGGUCAAUGGGCGUAAGCCUGAACCAGCCAAGCCGCGUGAGGGAUGAAGGUUCUAUGGAUCGUAAACCUCUUUUAUAAGGGAAUAAAGUGCGGGACGUGUCCCGUUAUGUAUGUACCUUAUGAAAAAGGAUCGGCUAACUCCGUGCCAGCAGCCGCGGUAAUACGGAGGAUGCGAGCGUUAUCCGGAUUUAUUGGGUUUAAAGGGUGCGUAGGCGGGCAUUUAAGUCGGCGGUCAAAUGUCGGGGCUCAACCCCGGCCUGCCGUCGAAACUGGGUGUCUUGAGUGGGCGAGAAGUAUGCGGAAUGCGUGGUGUAGCGGUGAAAUGCAUAGAUAUCACGCAGAACCCCGAUUGCGAAGGCAGCAUACCGGCGCCCUACUGACGCUGAGGCACGAAAGUGCGGGUAUCGAACAGGAUUAGAUACCCGAGUAGUC
Molecule: ribosomal RNA, 459 nt
Filed under: uncultured bacterium
Lineage: Bacteria
Description: partial 16S ribosomal RNA
Rfam family: Bacterial small subunit ribosomal RNA
Source: RNAcentral